GGCUGAGAUGCUCAGGCCGUUGUAAAGGCACAGCAUGAAAAUCAUCAUGGACUCGCUGGUGCCAAACCACAAGAAGAAACAGCUGAUGCCCGAGAGGAUCAUGGAACCACCUGAUGGAUAUGUGUGCUGAACGUAAAGAUGAUGGGCCCUGACAGGUGUGGUCAGGGGCACAGCGCGAUGACACGCUCCGACUCGGAAGGAGAAACCGUGACAGCUUUUACCCAAACAUGUCUCCAGGAGAUCUGCUCACCUCCAGGUAGAACCUGGGACUCUCUGGCAUGAAGAAUUGGAAAAAAUCUAUUCAUCAACUUACCCAAAACCUGCAACAAGACGGCAGAGAAGGAAUAAACCAUAUCCCUGGACAAACGACGACAGGAAGGCAAAAAAGCCAUUGGUGGACAUGCAGAUGAGGAGGAUCUGUCUGCGUCCCAGCUUGUCAGACAUUCCUCCCCAGAAGAAUGCUCCAAACAUCAUUCCCAGGUAAACAAUGCUGCCUGGAAAAACAAAAAAAAA
Long non-coding RNA from Oryzias melastigma (Indian medaka), 513 nucleotides. RefSeq lists it as uncharacterized. Lineage: Eukaryota; Metazoa; Chordata; Actinopteri; Beloniformes; Adrianichthyidae. The transcript is spliced from 3 exons. The record is from RefSeq and is a predicted model, not a curated record.